Molecule: ribosomal RNA, 253 nt
Filed under: uncultured bacterium
Lineage: Bacteria
Description: partial 16S ribosomal RNA
Rfam family: Bacterial small subunit ribosomal RNA
Source: RNAcentral
UACAGAGACUCCAAGCGUUAUUCGGAUUCACUGGGCGUAAAGGGAGCGCAGGCGGUCAGAUGUGUCAGGUGUGAAAUACUGCAGCUUAACUGUAGAACUGCACUUGAAACUAUUUGACUAGAGUAUCGGAGAGGUAAGCGGAAUUCCAGGUGUAGCAGUGAAAUGCGUAGAUAUCUGGAGGAACACCAAUGGCGAAGGCAGCUUACUGGACGAUUACUGACGCUCAGGCUCGAAAGCAUGGGGAGCGAAAGGG